Molecule: long non-coding RNA, 823 nt
Organism: Lemur catta (Ring-tailed lemur)
Lineage: Eukaryota; Metazoa; Chordata; Mammalia; Primates; Lemuridae
Exons: 2
Source: RefSeq, a predicted model, not a curated record
CCUCUCUCCCCUUUUCUUUCCUUCCUCUCUGCUCUGAACCUGUCUCCCUCUCCCCCCGCCCCCCUUCCUCCUCCCCAAGUCCGCAUUCCCACUGGCCUCCUGCCCUGUUCUCAGGGAGGCCCCUGCACCCUGCACCCUGGCCCUGAGGCUCCUCUCCUGCCCUGGUGCUCUGAGGCUUCCAGGUCCUGACCAGGAGGCCACACAGGCUCUGUGGCAGGAGGCCAGCCCAGAGCAGAGCCACUGAGCCAGAGGCCCGGGUGUAGAGGGACCCCUGUGACACCCCUUUUCUCUCUUUUCUGUUUGUCCUGGACUGUGGACACUGCCUGGAGGAGUCAGGCCUGCCCAAGCCCAGGAAGGAGGAAGCAAGGAACAGGCUCAGAGACAGGAAGCACAUUGCCUGAAGACACACAGCAUGCAGCAUGGAACACCCCAGUGCUGGGAGGACCUCACCUGACUUGCAUUUCACAGAUGAGAACAUCGGCACCCAGUGUUUCUGAAAACCAGCCACUGCGAGGCUUCCGGGGAACCGACCUUCCCUGAAGGGCCAACAGUGCCCCCUGCAGGGAAUUCUCUCCAUUGCGAGCAGCCACAGGGAUCUGCCUGAGGCAUUCUGAGCGCGUGGGAUCCUCUAUCGCCACCGACUGGCACAGGGUGGAACUGCAACCACGCUGUAUUAGACACUGAGAAUGGUCCCAACAAAAUGAACAAUGACUUGAAUGCCUGGGGCAGGGAUAGGAGCGGUUGGGUGGGGGGUAGUGGAGAGGGAGAAUUUGCAAAUUCUGUAAAAAUAAAAAUUUUACUCCUAAUCAAUGUAUAAACAUCA